CCUACGGGCGGCAGCAGUGAGGAAUAUUGGUCAAUGGGCGCGAGCCUGAACCAGCCAAGUAGCGUGAAGGAUGACUGCACUACGUGUCGUAAACUUCUUUUAUAAAGGAAUAAAGUGAGGCACGUGUGCCCUUUUGUAUGUACUUUAUGAAUAAGGAUCGGCUAACUCCGUGCCAGCAGCCGCGGUAAUACGGAGGAUCCGAGCGUUAUCCGGAUUUAUUGGGUUUAAAGGGAGCGUAGAUGGGUUGUUAAGUCAGUUGUGAAAGUUUGCGGCUCAACCGUAAAAUUGCAAUUGAUACUGGCAGCCUUGAGUACAGUUGAGGUAGGCGGAAUUCGUGGUGUAGCGGUGAAAUGCAUAGAUAUCACGAAGAACUCCGAUUGCGAAGGCAGCUUACUGGACUGCCACUGACGUUGAUGCUCGAAAGUGUGGGUAUCAAACAGGAUUAGAUACCCGGGUAGUC
RNAcentral lists this ribosomal RNA (460 nucleotides) under uncultured bacterium. RNAcentral describes it as "partial 16S ribosomal RNA". It matches the Rfam family "Bacterial small subunit ribosomal RNA", at positions 338 to 795 of the family's 1533-position model. The record is from RNAcentral.